RNAcentral lists this ribosomal RNA (433 nucleotides) under uncultured bacterium. Its description in RNAcentral is "partial 16S ribosomal RNA". It matches the Rfam family "Bacterial small subunit ribosomal RNA", at positions 29 to 507 of the family's 1533-position model. The record is from RNAcentral.
AACGAACGCUGGCGGCAUGCCUAACACAUGCAAGUCGAACGAGACCUUCGGGUCUAGUGGCGCACGGGUGCGUAACGCGUGGGAACCUGCCCUUAUGUUCGGACUAACUCCCCGAAAGGGGUGCUAAUACCGGAUAAUGUCUUCGGACCAAAGAUUUAUCGCCUUUGGAUGGGCCCGCGUUGGAUUAGCUAGUUGGUAGGGUAAAAGCCUACCAAGGCGACGAUCCAUAGCUGGUCUGAGAGGAUGAUCAGCCACACUGGGACUGAGACACGGCCCAGACUCCUACGGGAGGCAGCAGUGGGGAAUAUUGGACAAUGGGCGAAGGCCUGAUCCAGCAAUGCCGGGUGAGUGAUGAAGGCCUUAGGGUUGUAAAGCUCUUUUAACCGGGAUGAUAAUGACAGUACCGGGAGAAUAAGCUCCGGCUAACUCCGUG